This 468-nucleotide ribosomal RNA is filed under the name uncultured bacterium. RNAcentral describes it as "partial 16S ribosomal RNA". It matches the Rfam family "Bacterial small subunit ribosomal RNA", at positions 28 to 507 of the family's 1533-position model. The record is from RNAcentral.
GACGAACGCUGGCGGCGUGCUUAACACAUGCAAGUCGAACGGAAAUGCCCUGCUUUUGUGGGGUGCUCGAGUGGCGAACGGGUGAGUAACACUUGAGUAACCUGCCCUUGACUUUGGGAUAACUUCAGGAAACUGGGGCUAAUACCGGAUAGGAGCUCCUGCUGCAUGGUGGGGGUUGGAAAGUUUCGGCGGUUGGGGAUGGACUCGCGGCUUAUCAGCUUGUUGGUGGGGUAGUGGCUUACCAAGGCUUUGACGGGUAGCCGGCCUGAGAGGGUGACCGGCCACAUUGGGACUGAGAUACGGCCCAGACUCCUACGGGAGGCAGCAGUGGGGAAUAUUGCACAAUGGGCGGAAGCCUGAUGCAGCAACGCCGCGUGCGGGAUGACGGCCUUAGGGUUGUAAACCGCUUUCGCCUGUGACGAAGCGUGAGUGACGGUAAUGGGUAAAGAAGCACCGGCUAACUACGUG